This 430-nucleotide ribosomal RNA is filed under the name Pseudomonadota bacterium. RNAcentral's name for it is "Proteobacteria bacterium partial 16S ribosomal RNA". It matches the Rfam family "Bacterial small subunit ribosomal RNA", at positions 355 to 776 of the family's 1533-position model. The record is from RNAcentral. Lineage: Bacteria; Pseudomonadati; Pseudomonadota.
UGGGGAAUAUUGGACAAUGGGCGAAAGCCUGAUCCAGCCAUGCCGCGUGUGUGAAGAAGGCCUUUUGGUUGUAAAGCACUUUAAGCGAGGAGGAGGCUACUAGUACUAAUACUACUGGAUAGUGGACGUUACUCGCAGAAUAAGCACCGGCUAACUCUGUUCCAGCAGCCGCGGUAAUACAGAGGGUGCGAGCGUUAAUCGGAUUUACUGGGCGUAAAGCGUGCGUAGGCGGCUGAUUAAGUCGGAUGUGAAAUCCCUGAGCUUAACUUAGGAAUUGCAUUCGAUACUGGUCAGCUAGAGUAUGGGAGAGGAUGGUAGAAUUCCAGGUGUAGCGGUGAAAUGCGUAGAGAUCUGGAGGAAUACCGAUGGCGAAGGCAGCCAUCUGGCCUAAUACUGACGAUGAGGUACGAAAGCAUGGGGAGCAAACAGG